This 886-nucleotide ribosomal RNA is filed under the name Nostoc sp. EERGCy014. RNAcentral describes it as "bacterial SSU rRNA". It matches the Rfam family "Bacterial small subunit ribosomal RNA", at positions 159 to 1079 of the family's 1533-position model. The record is from RNAcentral. Lineage: Bacteria; Bacillati; Cyanobacteriota; Cyanophyceae; Nostocales; Nostocaceae.
UGGGCUAAUACCGGGAUAUGCCGAGAGGUGAAAGGCUUGCUGCCUGAAGAUGAGCUCGCGUCUGAUUAGCUAGUUGGUGUGGUAAGAGCGCACCAAGGCGACGAUCAGUAGCUGGUCUGAGAGGAUGAUCAGCCACACUGGGACUGAGACACGGCCCAGACUCCUACGGGAGGCAGCAGUGGGGAAUUUUCCGCAAUGGGCGAAAGCCUGACGGAGCAAUACCGCGUGAGGGAGGAAGGCUCUUGGGUUGUAAACCUCUUUUCUCAGGGAAGAAAAAAUGACGGUACCUGAGGAAUAAGCAUCGGCUAACUCCGUGCCAGCAGCCGCGGUAAUACGGAGGAUGCAAGCGUUAUCCGGAAUGAUUGGGCGUAAAGCGUCCGCAGGUGGCUGUGUAAGUCUGCUGUUAAAGAAUCUAGCUCAACUAGAUAAAAGCAGUGGAAACUACAUAGCUAGAGUGCGUUCGGGGUAGAGGGAAUUCCUGGUGUAGCGGUGAAAUGCGUAGAUAUCAGGAAGAACACCGGUGGCGAAAGCGCUCUACUAGGCCGCAACUGACACUGAGGGACAAAAGCUAGGGGAGCGAAUGGGAUUAGAUACCCCAGUAGUCCUAGCCGUAAACGAUGGAUACUAGGCGUGGCUUGUAUCGACCCGAGCCGUGCCGUAGCUAACGCGUUAAGUAUCCCGCCUGGGGAGUACGCACGCAAGUGUGAAACUCAAAGGAAUUGACGGGGGCCCGCACAAACGGUGGAGUAUGUGGUUUAAUUCUAUGCAACGCGAAGAACCUUACCAAGACUUGACAUGUCGCGAAUCCUGGUGAGAACUGGGAGUGUCUUCUGGAGCGCAAACACAUGUGGUGCAUGGCUGUCUUCUCGUGUCGUGAGAUGUUGGG